ACUGAACUAAAGGGGCAGAGCCAGGAUGUGAGCCCAGUUCUGACAGACAAGUCUGUGCUCUCCACCGCUACUCCUACUCGUCUCUGAGCAACAGGACUGUGGCUGCCAUCCAUACCUGACGUGGCCAGUAGCUGGGUGACACUGGCAGAAACAACAGUAGAGAAGCUUUGGGAUCCCACUGAAAGUACCUACAGAAAGAAGAGCUGGAGUUUCCUCCUUCCUCAGAGGAAAGUGGAAGUCAUAUACAUUGAGUAUGCCUGACAAAGAUAAUUUGGAAAUCAAGCCACACCUGGAAGAGAAGUGGAAAAAGCUGGGAGGUGAAGUGAUACGAAGCCCUACAUCCUGGUGACCUAAACCUAAACCCCAAUGAACAGACACUGCCACAGGUCUGCUGCC
Molecule: long non-coding RNA, 396 nt
Organism: Canis lupus familiaris (dog)
Lineage: Eukaryota; Metazoa; Chordata; Mammalia; Carnivora; Canidae
Exons: 3
Source: RefSeq, a predicted model, not a curated record